This 301-nucleotide ribosomal RNA is filed under the name uncultured bacterium. RNAcentral's name for it is "partial 16S ribosomal RNA". It matches the Rfam family "Bacterial small subunit ribosomal RNA", at positions 509 to 807 of the family's 1533-position model. The record is from RNAcentral.
CAGCAGCCGCGGUAAUACAGAGGAUGCAAGCGUUAUCCGGAAUGAUUGGGUGUAAAGCGUCUGUAGGUGGCUUUUCAAGUCCGCCAUCAAAUCCCUGGGCUCAACCCUGGACAGGCAGUGGAAACUACCAAGCUGGAGUACGGUAGGGGCAGAGGGAAUUUCCGGUGGAGAGGUGAAAUGCGUUGAGAUUGGAAAGAACACCAACGGUGAAAGCGCUCUGCUGGGCCGACACUGACACUGAGAGACGAAAUCUAGGGGAGCAAAUGGGAUUAGAUACCCCAGUAGUCCCUGUCUCUUAUAC